This is a long non-coding RNA of Homo sapiens (human), 1376 nucleotides long. RefSeq lists it as uncharacterized. The transcript is spliced from 2 exons. NCBI's taxonomy places the organism in Eukaryota, Metazoa, Chordata, Mammalia, Primates, Hominidae. The record is from RefSeq and is a predicted model, not a curated record.
AGGGUCUGGGGGCUGUGUCAGGUGAAAACCUGCAGUGGCUGGCAAGGCAGCGCCGUUUUACCUGAUCCUAUUGUAUCUAAAGCGGUUCAAAGUAUCUUCUACAGGAGUUCCAGUAUGCAAAUUAGGAUUGUUCCUGAGCGGUCUCACGACUUGUAGUGUUAGGAUGCUAAUUUUAUUAUUUCCCCCACAAACUGCCUGCAAGGGGAGAUUUGAAGCUGGGAUGCAGUGGUGUCACAGCCUAGAGUCACUAGCUCGCAGUCCAUGAAGGCAGAGGUGGCUUAUUUGAAAAUAGUGGAGCGGAGAGGGAUGGGCCACACCUUUGGCCGAGUUGUAUUUGCAUUGAGGGAUAACUUUGUUUUUUUUCUCCUGGAAACUCACUUGAUUGUUAGUACUUGCUCUUUGCUGUGGCUGCUGAGAUAAGUCUUAACGUUUUCGUUUAACACAGUGAAAAUGUGUGAAAAGGAAUACUGAAUGGCAAACGUUUAAAAAAACAAUGAAUGUUCUACCAGUUCUAUCAGUUGCUGGGCAAUUGCUGGUUGUUAAAUCUUGGCUUGCCCAAAUCCCAGGAGAGAAAAUAUCCUGCCGUAUCCUGAACUGUUAAGUAGAUGUUCUUUUUCCCUUCAUCCUAUUCUUUCGCCUAGUCAGAUUUCCCAUCCCACCUACCGGAAAGCAAUGACUUUAUUCAACAAACUAUAAAUCCAUUCACACUAAGAUGUUUGGGUGCUGACAUAUAGGUAGAUCAGUUAUGUUUUAAAGAGAGGCAUAUGGAAGGGAGAAGGUUUGGAAUUAGAGCAACCUAGGUAGUACUUCCUGUGUGACUACAGCAAGUUCGUGACAGCCUCUCCGAGCCUCAGUUUCCUCAUCAGUAAAGCCUGCAGUCGGUGGUGUGCUAGCGCCAACUGAUGGUAGUGACACACCCAGAACCCCAGAAUUGGCAUAAAGAUUAUUUUAAGCUGAAGACACUUGAGAUUCAAUUGAUACAGAAAGAAGCCUUCUCAGAGCUUCCUUUAUCUGACUAGAAGCUGAAACUUCUGAUAAAUGAAGACCAUCAUAAAUUCCCUCUUGAGGAAAGCUACUACCAGGAGAGAGACCAAGAGUAAAUCUACCAUAAAUACCCCAUGACCAUGAGUUCAGAAAACCUACAUAAACAUAUAUUAUCACAAAAUGCCUUAUUGCUCAUUUGUUCUCCUAAAACCACAUUUGUUUUUCCUAAAGGAACCUAUUUGUUCAUCCCAUAGGAACAUUUACUCCGUCUUCCCUUUCCUUACUAAUUUAGGUAUAUAAGCCUCAAAUUCUAACCAUCCAUUUCAGUAACUCAUCUCUGAGCCCUCCUAUGUACAUGUAGUUCUUGUAAAUAAACCCUUUUCUUUUACUAA